Molecule: ribosomal RNA, 403 nt
Filed under: Papilio prexaspes prexaspes
Lineage: Eukaryota; Metazoa; Arthropoda; Insecta; Lepidoptera; Papilionidae
Also listed under: 4 other names
Description: partial 16S ribosomal RNA
Source: RNAcentral
GGGCUGCAGUAUUUUGACUGUACAAAGGUAGCAUAAUCAAUAGUCUCUUAAUUGGUGACUUGUAUGAAAGAUUGGAUGAGAUAUAUACUGUCUCUAAUUAAUUUAUUGAAAUUAAUUUUUUAGUAAAAAAGCUAAAAUAAUUUUAAAAGACGAGAAGACCCUAUAGAGUUUAAUAAUUUAUUUAAUUAUUAUUAAUAUAUAAUUUUUAAAAUUAAAAUUAAAUAAAUUAUUUUGUUGGGGUGAUAAAAAAAUUAAAUUAACUUUUUUUAAUUAUUAACAUUAAUUUAUGAAUAAAUGAUCCAUUUAUAGUGAUUAAAAGAAAAAAUUACCUUAGGGAUAACAGCGUAAUUUUUUUUUUUAGUUCAAAUAGGAAAAAAAGUUUGCGACCUCGAUGUUGGAUUAA